UAUUAACUCUGGCGGUGUGCCUAAUACAUGCAAGUCGAGCGAACGGACGAGAAGCUUGCUUCUCUGAUGUUAGCGGCGGACGGGUGAGUAACACGUGGAUAACCUACCUAUAAGACUGGGAUAACUUCGGGAAACCGGAGCUAAUACCGGAUAAUAUUUUGAACCGCAUGGUUCAAAAGUGAAAGACGGUCUUGCUGUCACUUAUAGAUGGAUCCGCGCUGCAUUAGCUAGUUGGUAAGGUAACGGCUUACCAAGGCAACGAUGCAUAGCCGACCUGAGAGGAUGAUCGGCCACACUGGAACUGAGACACGGUCCAGACUCCUACGGGAGGCAGCAGUAGGGAAUCUUCCGCAAUGGGCGAAAGCCUGACGGAGCAACGCCGCGUGAGUGAUGAAGGUCUUCGGAUCGUAAAACUCUGUUAUUAGGGAAGAACAUAUGUGUAAGUAACUGUGCACAUCUUGACGGUACCUAAUCAGAAAGCCACGGCUAACUACGUG
This 497-nucleotide ribosomal RNA is filed under the name uncultured bacterium. Its description in RNAcentral is "partial 16S ribosomal RNA". It matches the Rfam family "Bacterial small subunit ribosomal RNA", at positions 29 to 507 of the family's 1533-position model. The record is from RNAcentral.